RNAcentral lists this transfer RNA (71 nucleotides) under Candidatus Nomurabacteria bacterium RIFCSPHIGHO2_02_40_30. RNAcentral's name for it is "tRNA-Pro". It matches the Rfam family "tRNA". From Rfam's summary of the family: Transfer RNA (tRNA) molecules are approximately 80 nucleotides in length. Their secondary structure includes four short double-helical elements and three loops (D, anti-codon, and T loops). Further hydrogen bonds mediate the characteristic L-shaped molecular structure. tRNAs have two regions of fundamental functional importance: the anti-codon, which is responsible for specific mRNA codon recognition, and the 3' end, to which the tRNAs corresponding amino acid is attached (by aminoacyl-tRNA synthetases). tRNAs cope with the degeneracy of the genetic code in two manners: having more than one tRNA (with a specific anti-codon) for a particular amino acid; and 'wobble' base-pairing, i.e. permitting non-standard base-pairing at the 3rd anti-codon position. The record is from RNAcentral. Lineage: Bacteria; Candidatus Nomuraibacteriota. RNAcentral also lists the same sequence under 7 other names.
CGGGCUGUCGUAUACCGGUAGUACGUCUGUUUUGGGAACAGAUAGACUGGGUUCGAUUCCCAGCAGCCCGA